This 450-nucleotide ribosomal RNA is filed under the name uncultured bacterium. RNAcentral describes it as "partial 16S ribosomal RNA". It matches the Rfam family "Bacterial small subunit ribosomal RNA", at positions 338 to 795 of the family's 1533-position model. The record is from RNAcentral.
CCUACGGGCGGCUGCAGUGGGGAAUAUUGGACAAUGGGGGCAACCCUGAUCCAGCAAUGCCGCGUGUGUGAAGAAGGCCUGCGGGUUGUAAAGCACUUUCAGUAGGGAAGAAAAGCUCGGAGUUAAUACCUCCGGGUCUUGACGUUACCUAAAGAAGAAGCACCGGCUAACUCCGUGCCAGCAGCCGCGGUAAUACGGAGGGUGCAAGCGGUAAUCGGAAUUACUGGGGGUGAAGCGCACGCAGGCGUGCGAAAGCCCUGGGCUUAACCUGGGAACUGCAUUCGAUACUGUCUGGCUAGAGUAUGGGAGAGGGAAGCGGAAUUUCCGGUGUAGCGGUGAAAUGCGUAGAUAUUGGGAGGAACACCGGUGGCGAAGGCGGCUUUCCGGACUAGUACUGACGCUGAGGCGCGAAAGCUAGGGGAGCGAACGGGAUUAGAUACCCCUGUAGUC